UACAGAGGUCUCAAGCGUUGUUCGGAUUCAUUGGGCGUAAAGGGUGUGUAGGUGGCGCCGUAAGUCGGGUGUGAAAUUUCGGAGCUUAACUCCGAAACUGCAUUCGAUACUGCGAUGCUUGAGGACUGGAGAGGAGACUGGAAUUCAUGGUGUAGCAGUGAAAUGCGUAGAUAUCGUAAGGAAGACCAGUGGCGAAGGCGGGUCUCUGGACAGUUCCUGACGCUGAGGCACGAAGGCCAGGGGAGCAAACGGG
This 253-nucleotide ribosomal RNA is filed under the name uncultured bacterium. Its description in RNAcentral is "partial 16S ribosomal RNA". It matches the Rfam family "Bacterial small subunit ribosomal RNA", at positions 524 to 776 of the family's 1533-position model. The record is from RNAcentral.